Salvia splendens (bonfire salvia) is the source of this 189-nucleotide long non-coding RNA. RefSeq lists it as uncharacterized. Lineage: Eukaryota; Viridiplantae; Streptophyta; Magnoliopsida; Lamiales; Lamiaceae. The record is from RefSeq and is a predicted model, not a curated record. The transcript is spliced from 2 exons.
UAAUUUGCAUGCCCUUUUAAUUAUCAAUUUUCUAAUUUGCAUGCCAUUUUAAUUAGGAAUUAGGGUCAGAUUUUUAAUUAGGAUCAGAUUUUUAUAAUUAGGGUCACAUUUUUAAUUAAGGUGUAGCUGUGCAGAUUUUUAUCAUACUUCUAUUUUUAUAAAUUUAGUAAUUGCAGUAGAUUUAGUAAU